CACAUCUACCAGACUCUCUGGGUCCCUUCACUUCCCGAGGGGAUUAGCAGCCGCUCACCUCUGCCUUGGGCCAAUGGAAUUGCACCGCCUUUGGGGUCUGCUCAGCCUCUAGGGGUCUUCACUCGGGAGGAGGGCGGGGCAGGUGACGCAGCUAUAGCCUCGGCUUCUGGGAAUGGGCGGGCCAUCGACCCGGGACCACCAGCGCCAACCCAGGCUCGCCUGCGAGUUUGCUCCUCCUGUGCUGUUUAAAAGUUAUCAAUGAGAAACACAGGUGGAGGCUGAGCUCUGAUGACUAUGGGAAGUACAGAGGGCCAGGAGCCUCUAACCACAGUUCAGAAGUAUAUGACACGCAGAAGAUGAAAUGGUAAACAAUUCAAUCGUAAGACAGAGGAAGCACAAUCUAAGUCUCUAGAGCAAACAAUAAAAACAAUUAACUUUAAAUAGGCAUA
Molecule: long non-coding RNA, 449 nt
Filed under: Mus spretus (western wild mouse)
Lineage: Eukaryota; Metazoa; Chordata; Mammalia; Rodentia; Muridae
Description: lncRNA (ENSMSPG00010007772.1)
Source: RNAcentral